GCGCCCAUAGCUCAGUUGGAUAGAGCACUCGCCUUCUAAGCGAGAUGUCGCAGGUUCGAAUCCUGCUGGGCGCGCCA
RNAcentral lists this transfer RNA (77 nucleotides) under Magnetospirillum molischianum DSM 120. RNAcentral describes it as "Phaeospirillum molischianum DSM 120 tRNA-Arg". It matches the Rfam family "tRNA". From Rfam's summary of the family: Transfer RNA (tRNA) molecules are approximately 80 nucleotides in length. Their secondary structure includes four short double-helical elements and three loops (D, anti-codon, and T loops). Lineage: Bacteria; Pseudomonadati; Pseudomonadota; Alphaproteobacteria; Rhodospirillales; Rhodospirillaceae. The record is from RNAcentral.